RNAcentral lists this ribosomal RNA (460 nucleotides) under uncultured bacterium. Its description in RNAcentral is "partial 16S ribosomal RNA". It matches the Rfam family "Bacterial small subunit ribosomal RNA", at positions 338 to 795 of the family's 1533-position model. The record is from RNAcentral.
CCUACGGGUGGCAGCAGUGAGGAAUAUUGGUCAAUGGGCGUAAGCCUGAACCAGCCAAGUCGCGUGAGGGAUGACGGCUCUAUGGGUCGUAAACCUCUUUUAUAUGGGAAUAAAGUGCAGGACGUAUCCUGUUUUGCAUGUACCUUAUGAAUAAGGAUCGGCUAACUCCGUGCCAGCAGCCGCGGUAAUACGGAGGAUCCGAGCGUUAUCCGGAUUUAUUGGGUUUAAAGGGUGCGUAGGCGGCCUUUUAAGUCAGUGGUGAAAGUCUGUGGCUCAACCGUAGAAUUGCCGUUGAAACUGGGAGGCUUGAGUACGUUAGAGGUAGGCGGAAUGCGUGGUGUAGCGGUGAAAUGCUUAGAUAUCACGCAGAACCCCGAUUGCGAAGGCAGCCCGCCGAGCCACGACUGACGCUGAUGCACGAAAGUGUGGGGAUCAAACAGGAUUAGAUACCCCAGUAGUC